This 268-nucleotide ribosomal RNA is filed under the name uncultured bacterium. RNAcentral describes it as "partial 16S ribosomal RNA". It matches the Rfam family "Bacterial small subunit ribosomal RNA", at positions 335 to 620 of the family's 1533-position model. The record is from RNAcentral.
ACUCCUACGGGGCGCAGCAGUGGGGAAUAUUGCACAAUGGGGGAAACCCUGAUGCAGCGACGCCGCGUGAAGGAUGAAGUAUUUCGGUAUGUAAACUUCUAUCAGCAGGGAAGAAAAUAACGGUACCUGACUAAGAAGCCCCGGCUAACUACGUGCCAGCAGCCGCGGUAAUACGUAGGGGGCAAGCGUUAUCCGGAUUUACUGGGUGUAAAGGGAGCGUAGAUGGUAUGGCCAGUCUGAUGUGAAAACACGGGGCUCAACCCCGGUA